AGUUUGAUCCUGGCUCAGGAUGAACGCUUGCGGCGUGCCUAACACAUGCAAGUCGAACGAUGAAACCGCCCCCGGGCGGACAUGAAGUGGCGAACGGGUGAGUAACACGUGACCGACCUGCCCCCCGCCCAGGGACAGCCCCCCGAAAGGGGGAUUAAUACCUGGUACUCCGGAAGCGGCGCAUGCCGCCCCCGGGAAAGCUCUGGCGGCGGGGGAUGGGGUCGCGGCCCAUCAGGUAGACGGCGGGGCAGAGGCCCACCGUGCCGACGACGGGUAGCCGGGUUGAGAGACCGACCGGCCACAUUGGGACUGAGAUACGGCCCAGACUCCUACGGGAGGCAGCAGUGGGGAAUUUUGCGCAAUGGGGGCAACCCUGACGCAGCAACGCCGCGUGAAGGAAGAAGUAUCUCGGUAUGUAAACUUCUAUCAGCAGGGAAGAGUCAAGACUGUACCUGCAGAAGAAGCCCCGGCUAACUACGUGCCAGCAGCCGCGGUAAUACGUAGGGGGCGAGCGUUAUCCGGAUUCAUUGGGCGUAAAGCGCGCGUAGGCGGCCCGGCAGGCCGGGGGUCGAAGCGGGGGGCUCAACCCCCCGAAGCCCCCGGAACCUCCGCGGCUUGGGUCCGGUAGGGGAGGGUGGAACACCCGGUGUAGCGGUGGAAUGCGCAGAUAUCGGGUGGAACACCGGUGGCGAAGGCGGCCCUCUGGGCCGAGACCGACGCUGAGGCGCGAAAGCUGGGGGAGCGAACAGGAUUAGAUACCCUGGUAGUCCCAGCCGUAAACGAUGGACACUAGGUGUGGGGGGGACGAUCCCCCCCGUUACGGAGGCCAAACCAUUAAGGGUCCGCGCCGGGGGAGUACCGGCCGCAAGGCUAAAACUAAAAGGAAUGGACGGGGGCCCGCACAAGCAGCGGAGCAUGUGGCUUAAUUUGAAGCAACGGGAAGAACCUUACCAGGGCUUGACAUAUGGGUGAAGCGGGGGAGACCCCGUGGCCGAGAGGAGCCCAUACAGAGUGGUGCAUGGCUGUCGUCAGCUCGUGUCGUGAGAUGUUGAGUUAAGUCCCGCAACGAGCGCAACCCCCGCCGCGUGUUGCCAUCGGGUGAUGCCGGGAACCCACGCGGGACCGCCGCCGUCAAGGCGGAGGAGGGCGGGGACGACGUCAAGUCAUCAUGCCCCUUAUGCCCUGGGCUGCACACGUGCUACAAUGGCCGGUACAGAGGGAUGCCACCCCGCGAGGGGGAGCGGAUCCCGGAAAGCCGGCCCCAGUUCGGAUUGGGGGCUGCAACCCACCCCCAUGAAGUCGGAGUUGCUAGUAAUCGCGGAUCAGCAUGCCGCGGUGAAUGCGUUCCCGGGCCUUGCACACACAGCCCGUCA
RNAcentral lists this ribosomal RNA (1373 nucleotides) under uncultured bacterium. RNAcentral describes it as "16S ribosomal RNA". It matches the Rfam family "Bacterial small subunit ribosomal RNA". The record is from RNAcentral.